GCUAUGUAAGGAGGCGGUGGCGGCUGGGUAAGGCUGGGGGGGAAGCCAAGGCCCUGGUUGACUUGGAUCUCGAAGGACAGACCACGCUGGCACUGAGUGCCGUCAUCAGCAUCGGAGAAGAAAUAGUUUGGACCUUUGAUAGUCAACGGCACAGGGAUGAUCAACGCUUCACCAAACACCAUGCUGCCACCGUCGUACUGGAUCGUAUCAUUAUCCGAUGCAUCGUCCGUUGUGCAGCUCUUAAAUGUGCUCUCGUUGUAGGUCUGGAUCACCGUCUGAUUCGAAUUCGUGUUGAAAAUGAGGAAGUCCCCUAGAUUGAAGGUCUGCAUAGCAGCCCAAGAUGAAUAGUUAGCGGCGGAGAUGUUAGUGGUGGAAUUGAAGAACCAGCCGGCAUUGCCGCCGACAGUAUGGUUGGUAUAAGCAGUUGGAGGCGUCUGCGAUGCGGCUGCAGUGAUCAUGAGCGCAGUUACUGUUAGACACAAAAAUGUAGCGACUUUCAUGGCUAUACGGUGCGGUUUGAUGUGAUGACUGUUUCGGGAGCUUGUCUGGGGUUUUGAUAAACGGAGGCUAUUUAGUUUUGAAGGACGCGGUGUCUUCUUUACUCAGUCAAAUCAUAGGCAAGGGAAUGGGAAACAGGGGAAGCAUUAGACCGACCCUUCAUGUGGGGCACAUGGGGUAGG
RNAcentral lists this unclassified non-coding RNA (680 nucleotides) under Hevea brasiliensis (rubber tree). Lineage: Eukaryota; Viridiplantae; Streptophyta; Magnoliopsida; Malpighiales; Euphorbiaceae. The record is from RNAcentral.